AAAUUGAAGAGUUUGAUCAUGGCUCAGAUUGAACGCUGGCGGCAGGCCUAACACAUGCAAGUCGAGCGGAAACGAGUUAUCUGAACCUUCGGGGAACGAUAACGGCGUCGAGCGGCGGACGGGUGAGUAAUGCCUAGGAAAUUGCCCUGAUGUGGGGGAUAACCAUUGGAAACGAUGGCUAAUACCGCAUAAUGCCUACGGGCCAAAGAGGGGGACCUUCGG
RNAcentral lists this ribosomal RNA (222 nucleotides) under Vibrio alginolyticus. RNAcentral describes it as "partial 16S ribosomal RNA". It matches the Rfam family "Bacterial small subunit ribosomal RNA", at positions 1 to 220 of the family's 1533-position model. The record is from RNAcentral. Lineage: Bacteria; Pseudomonadati; Pseudomonadota; Gammaproteobacteria; Vibrionales; Vibrionaceae. RNAcentral also lists the same sequence under 2 other names.